CUCUACCAUUUCAUUAUUUUUCAUGAAAUAAAUAAAUCAUUUUUUUUAUAUAAAAUACAUGGAGAAUAGGUCCCUUUCAAAGGAUUUUUACAGUAAAAUAGACUUUCAUAAAAAAAACUUUUUUUUCUCAAUUUUAAGGGGAUUGAAUGGGGGGUGCAGACUAUACACGGCCGAUUAUGGUAGUGUGUUUAAGUUUCAUUAUGUUUGGUUGAGGCAAAAGUUAGGAAACCGAAUUGAAACUUUAACCUUAAACUAUAUCUUAAAGGUUUAUACAAAAAUAACAAAAUUAAGCCCAUUUAUCAGGAAAAAAUGAAAAAAUGAACAAAAAAAUCCCAAUUUUACUUCACAUAGUUCCUCUAAAUAUUAAAAAUUCUUCUCCCAAAGAAUGAACAAAUCAUCCUGGUUAUAUAAAACAUAGUAAAAAAUUAACAGACAACAUUUAAAUAUUUUCUAAAAAAAACAAACAUUAUAUAGCAACAAUGUGCUUUAUACAACCAAAA
Molecule: long non-coding RNA, 500 nt
Filed under: Mytilus galloprovincialis (Mediterranean mussel)
Lineage: Eukaryota; Metazoa; Mollusca; Bivalvia; Mytilida; Mytilidae
Source: RNAcentral